This 124-nucleotide ribosomal RNA is filed under the name Ligilactobacillus salivarius. RNAcentral describes it as "partial 23S ribosomal RNA". It matches the Rfam family "Bacterial large subunit ribosomal RNA", at positions 2802 to 2925 of the family's 2925-position model. Lineage: Bacteria; Bacillati; Bacillota; Bacilli; Lactobacillales; Lactobacillaceae. The record is from RNAcentral.
AGAUAAGAUUUCCCAUUACGUAAGUAAGUAAGAUCCCUGAAAGAUGAUCAGGUAGAUAGGAUGGAAGUGGAAGUGCUGCGAGGCAUGGAGCGGACCAUUACUAAUCGAUCGAGGACUUAACCAA